RNAcentral lists this ribosomal RNA (1377 nucleotides) under Semisulcospira coreana. RNAcentral's name for it is "large subunit ribosomal RNA". It matches the Rfam family "Bacterial large subunit ribosomal RNA", at positions 565 to 2832 of the family's 2925-position model. Lineage: Eukaryota; Metazoa; Mollusca; Gastropoda; Semisulcospiridae. The record is from RNAcentral.
UAUAAGUCGUUCUAAGUUGUCAGCAUAUUUUAUAAAAAAUUCUUAUAUAUCACUGAAACAUCAAAAAACUUAGUAAGGGAGAAAGAAUAUGUAAAUUUUUAAAAAGUACCGCAAGGGAAUAUAACUAACAUAAAAAAGUAGUUACUAUAACGUACUUUUUGUAUCACGAUCUAGCAAGAAAAGAUCAGAACUCUGCUUUCUCGAAAGUUAGUGAGCUAUUUUUUUUAAGGCCAUUAGUCCUUUAAUUUUAAAUGUAGCAAAAUUUAAGUAAUAGAAAAAAAUAGAGAUGAAAUUUCAUCCGCACUAGCGAUAGCUAGUUUCUCCGAAAAGAUAUAAAAGUGUCGAGGAAAAGUUUAAUUUAUAAUAUUAAUUAUUAUAUAUACACUCUUUUUUAUUAAUUUUUUUGAGGAUAAGCUCAGAAAAAAGUUAAGAUAUUUUCAGCUAAAAUCACUGUGUGGGCUUAAAAUUGGCCACCAUAAAAGUUUGUUAUAAAAUAGUAAUCUUAAUUUAGAAAAUAAAUAUAAUUUAAUCUAAAUCAUUACGGGGACAAGAGCUUUAAUUAAAAUUAAGUUCUAUGCCUAUGCUAGAAUGAGUAUUAAAACCUAAUUAUAAAAGAAAUAUUAGUUUAUUUUUCUUCAAAAAAAAUUCUAAAAAAAAUUAAUUAAUUAGAAGGAAUUCGGCAAGUUUAAUUGCUUCGCCUGUUUAUCAAAAACAUGGCUCUUUGCUCACAUAAAUAUAAAGAGUCGAGCCUGCCCAGUGAAUUUUUUUUUAACGGCCGCGGUACUCUGACCGUGCAAAGGUAGCAUAAUCAUUUGCCUUAUAAUUGAAGGCUAGUAUGAAUGGUUUGACGAGAGCAAUACUGUCUCCUUUUUAUUUUCAAAAACUUAACUUUUAGGUGAAGAGGCCUAAAUUUUAUUGAAGGACAAGAAGACCCUGUCGAGCUUAAAAGACAUUAUAGGAGUCUAAUAUAUUUUUAAAUAAAUUUUCUAUUAGGCUUUUUAGUUGGGGCGACUAGGGAACAAAAAAAGCUUCUUUCUAAUAAAUAAACAAUCAUGUUUAGAUCCGAUAAUAGCGAUCAAAGAAAUUAGUUACCGCAGGGAUAACAGCAUAAUCUCUCUUAAGAGACCUAAUCGAAAGAGGGGGUUGUGACCUCGAUGUUGGACUAGAAUAUCCUAAAGAUGCAGAAGUCUUUAAGGGUCGGUCUGUUCGACCGUUAAAAUUCUACAUGAUCUGAGUUCAGACCGGCGUGAGCCAGGUCAGUUUCUAUCCUCAAUUUUUUUAUCUGCGCCUAGUACGAAAGGAUCGGCUCAGGAAGUGUAAGCUUUUAUUAAGAAUUAAAAUAAUAACAAAAUAAAUUUUAUUAUCAAAUUAGCAAAG